Molecule: unclassified non-coding RNA, 257 nt
Filed under: uncultured fungus
Lineage: Eukaryota; Fungi
Also listed under: 1 other name
Description: partial contains 5.8S ribosomal RNA, internal transcribed spacer 2, and large subunit ribosomal RNA
Source: RNAcentral
AACGCACAUUGCGCCCAUUAGUAUUCUAGUGGGCAUGCCUGUUCGAGCGUCAUUUCAACCCUUAAGCCUAGCUUAGUGUUGGGAGACUGCCUAAUACGCAGCUCCUCAAAACCAGUGGCAGAGUUUUUACGUACUCUGAGCGCAGUAAUUCUAUUCUCGCUUUUGAACACGUCUAGACGAUAGCCAAAAACCGCUUGCCUCGGCAGCACUUUUUAAUGGUUGACCUCGGAUCAGGUAGGAAUACCCGCUGAACUUAA